Molecule: long non-coding RNA, 723 nt
Filed under: Salvia miltiorrhiza (redroot sage)
Lineage: Eukaryota; Viridiplantae; Streptophyta; Magnoliopsida; Lamiales; Lamiaceae
Description: long non-coding RNA (SMIL_LNC005470)
Source: RNAcentral
UUCGCCUGAUCCGCCGCCGCCUAAUUCGCCUGCUUCACCUGCUCCGCCGCCGCCUAAUUCGCCUGCUUCACCUGCUCCGCCGCCGCCUGCUCCGCCCCCUACCUGCCUGCUCCGAUAAGCUCAGCCCUAAUUCGAAACCCUAGCCUAAAAUCAGGUAAUAGCUGAAUGCAGGGGCUAUCUGUAAUCAAUUUUUUUCUACUUCCCCAUAUAUGGCUGAAUGCAGGGGCUAUCUGCAAUCAAUUUAAGGAAAUUCAUAUAGUCAUUUAACGUAUUCGAUUGCCACUUUUCUACUUCUAGAUUUGCUGUGGUCGUAUUGAUUGGCACUAUUCAGGUUGGUCCAAUUCCCUUCACUAGUGUGUGUAUUCAUCUUGAGUCUAUUCCAUUCUGUUAUCAUGGUUGGCAACUAGGAAGUAGGAAUAUUGUUCAGAUUUGAUUCUAAAAUGAUUUGAGUGUGAAUUACUUUCAAUGGGCUUGAAAACAAGUUGGUGCUCUCUUACACAUGCAUUAACGUAUUCGAUUAAGGAAUAGGAAUUCAUGGUUGUCUGUAAUCAAUUUGAAUCAAUUAAGGAAUUCAUGGUUGUCUGUAAUCAAUUUGAAGGUUUAAUUAUUUAUUAGUACAUUUGAUUGAGGCGCUCUCUCACACAGAUUUACUUUUCUACUUCCAGAUUUGAUCGUGACUGGAAGAAAAUUGAGGCUUUUGUUGGCUCAAAGACACUAAUCCAG